Molecule: long non-coding RNA, 1206 nt
Organism: Pieris napi
Lineage: Eukaryota; Metazoa; Arthropoda; Insecta; Lepidoptera; Pieridae
Exons: 2
Source: RefSeq, a predicted model, not a curated record
CAGAAUGUCAUUGUCAAUUUCUUAAUAUGGCUGUUGUCAAACAUUCGUAUUGGUUUAUUGUUCUCAUUUAUUCAUUUACGUGUUUAAAUAUGAGUAAAACUAUUAAAAGUGGAGUUCGAGAGAUAUUGUUCUGCAUGAUAUCCAAAUUCCAAGAAAAAAAAGAAGCUGAAUUCUAACAAAAACAAGAUUGUGUGGUGUUGAAUUUCUUAUUAAAUCUGGAGGAUGUAGAAGGAGUCGAUGAAAUAGUGAGAACUAUUGGUAAGCUCACUGAUUUAGAGAAGAAACAUAGAAUAGAAUCCCAGAACCAGUACUUUAAAGAAAUCGCUUCCAUCACUGGUAAGAUUUUCAAUACAAGUGUAAUAUCAAUACACAGAAUUAAAAAAAAGGGACAAAAAAUCAAGGUGUCUGGAGUACACCUGGAAAAAAACGACCUCAUAAACCAACAGUGUCUCAUUUGGACAAUUUUGACAUGGAUGCUAUUUGCAACAAAAUAUUUCAUCUGGAAAAAGGUACAUAAUUAUACAAGCAGGGUCGGUGAAAGGUCCUGUGCUGAACUCAUUAUUAGUAUUUAGCACUAAAUCAAAAAUGGCUGAUUAUCACCAUGAUAUGAAUGCUGCCAACUUCAAUAAGUGGUUAGAAGAAAAGCCCAAUUUAAAUGAGCCAAGUGUAAUUGUUAUUGACAACGUCAGUUACCUUUCCGUUAUAGUAAAUAAAGCCCCUACGACACAGAAUCGGAAACAUGAGAUAAGAGAAUGGCUUACUUUGAAUAAUAUUCAAUUUGAAGAGUACCAUACGAAAGCAGAACUGCUGUCUAGUAAAACGGUAUAAACCAGAGCCAAUACAUGAUGCCGAUAAAAAUUUAAAGCACAAUGGUCAUGAGGUAUUAAGACUACCCCCAUACCAUUGUAUUAUAUGCAAAACGUAGCAAAUAAAAAUAAUUAAUUGACUACAGAGCAGUUAGAACAAGUGAUUAAAGAGUCAUUUGAAAAUGUAACAUCAGAAGAGUGAAAGAAAAUGACUGAUCGUGUUGUACAUGUGGAAAAUAAAUAUAAAGAAAGGGACAGGACUACAGAGGAACAUUUAGAAAGUUUCAUAAUCAAUGUGAGAGACAGUGAUAACAGCAAUGACUCUGAUGAAUCUAUCUAUGCAUAUUGAUUUUUUGGAUUCAGAUUUUGAUUUUUUCGAAUAAAGUUGUGUUUAUUUUUA